AACGAACGCUGGCGGCAUGCUUAACACAUGCAAGUCGAACGGAAAGGCCCUGCUUUUGUGCGCUGCUCGGGUGACGGACGGGUAAGUAACACGUAGGUAACGUGCACUUGCCUUUGGGGGAUCUUCAGGAAGCUGAGGGUCAUACCGCAUAGGAUCUCCUGCUGCUUGGUGGGGGUGGGUUGGUUUCGCCGGUUGGGGAUGGACUGGCGGAUUAUCAGCUUGUUGGUUGGGUAGUGGCAUACCAAGACUGGGAAGGGUAGCAGGCCUGAGCGGGUGAGCUGCCACACUGGGCCUGAGCUACGGCACAGACUCCAAUGGGAGGCAGGAGUGGGGAGGAUUGUACAAUGGGAUGAAGCCUGAUGUAGCCACGCCGCGUGCGGGAUGACGGCCUGCGGGUAGGGAACCGCAGCCGUCUGAGACGAAGCGUGAGUGACGGUAAUGGGUGAAUAAGCACCGGCUAACUACGUG
RNAcentral lists this ribosomal RNA (468 nucleotides) under uncultured bacterium. RNAcentral describes it as "partial 16S ribosomal RNA". It matches the Rfam family "Bacterial small subunit ribosomal RNA", at positions 28 to 507 of the family's 1533-position model. The record is from RNAcentral.